UACGUAGGGGGCAAGCGUUAUCCGGAUUUACUGGGUGUAAAGGGAGCGUAGACGGUCAAGCAAGUCUGGAGUGAAAUGCGGGGGCUCAACCCCCGGACUGCUUUGGAAACUGUCUGACUAGAGUGCAGGAGGGGUAAGCGGAAUUCCUGGUGUAGCGGUGAAAUGCGUAGAUAUCAGGAGGAACACCGGCGGCGAAGGCGGCUUACUGGACUGUAACUGACGUUGAGGCUCGAGAGCGUGGGGAGCAAAC
RNAcentral lists this ribosomal RNA (250 nucleotides) under uncultured prokaryote. RNAcentral's name for it is "partial 16S ribosomal RNA". It matches the Rfam family "Bacterial small subunit ribosomal RNA", at positions 524 to 773 of the family's 1533-position model. The record is from RNAcentral.